This 452-nucleotide ribosomal RNA is filed under the name uncultured Pelotomaculum sp. RNAcentral's name for it is "bacterial SSU rRNA". It matches the Rfam family "Bacterial small subunit ribosomal RNA", at positions 933 to 1374 of the family's 1533-position model. The record is from RNAcentral. Lineage: Bacteria; Bacillati; Bacillota; Clostridia; Eubacteriales; Desulfotomaculaceae.
UGGAGCAUGUGGUUUAAUUCGACGCAACGCGAAGAACCUUACCAGGGCUUGACAUCCCCUGACCGCGUAUGAAAGUACGUUUUCACCCUCGGGUGACAGGGAGACAGGUGGUGCAUGGUUGUCGUCAGCUCGUGUCGUGAGAUGUUGGGUUAAGUCCCGCAACGAGCGCAACCCCUACGUUUAGUUGCUAACGCGUGAAGGCGAGCACUCUAGACGAACUGCCGUUGACAAAACGGAGGAAGGUGGGAUGACGUCAAAUCAUCAUGCCCCUUAUGUUCUGGGCUACACACGUGCUACAAUGGCCGGUACAGACGGACGCAAAGCCGCGAGGUGGAGCAAAUCCUAAAAAGCCGGUCUCAGUUCGGAUUGCAGGCUGCAAUUCGCCUGCAUGAAGUCGGAAUCGCUAGUAAUCGCGGAUCAGCAUGCCCACGGUCCGAAUACGUUCCGGCCUU